AAUUCUCAAGGAGUUUGUUCUCUUUGGAUUUUGGAGUGUUUGCUGGCUUGAAUCUUGUUCAGCUCCUCUCAAAUGCAUUAGCUUGUGCUUCUGUGGAAUCAGGCUUUGGUUUGAUAGUAUCUAUGUCAUUGCCCUUGAAACAAAUGAGCUAGCUUCUAAUCAUUUUAUUUUUGACA
Molecule: unclassified non-coding RNA, 176 nt
Filed under: uncultured Hygrophorus
Lineage: Eukaryota; Fungi; Basidiomycota; Agaricomycetes; Agaricales; Hygrophoraceae
Description: sequence contains ITS2
Source: RNAcentral